UACGGGGGGAGCAAGCGUUGUUCGGAUUUACUGGGCGUAAAGGGCGCGUAGGCGGUCAGCACAAGUCAGUUGUGAAAUCUCCGGGCUUAACUCGGAAAGGUCAACUGAUACUGUGCGACUAGAGUGCGGAAGGGGCAACUGGAAUUCUCGGUGUAGCGGUGAAAUGCGUAGAUAUCGAGAGGAACACCUGCGGCGAAGGCGGGUUACUGGGCCGACACUGACGCUGAGGCACGAAGGCCAGGGGAGCAAACGGG
RNAcentral lists this ribosomal RNA (254 nucleotides) under uncultured bacterium. RNAcentral's name for it is "partial 16S ribosomal RNA". It matches the Rfam family "Bacterial small subunit ribosomal RNA", at positions 524 to 776 of the family's 1533-position model. The record is from RNAcentral.